Molecule: long non-coding RNA, 716 nt
Organism: Falco peregrinus (peregrine falcon)
Lineage: Eukaryota; Metazoa; Chordata; Aves; Falconiformes; Falconidae
Exons: 3
Source: RefSeq, a predicted model, not a curated record
UGGGAAUUAAGUCAGUGCCUUUGCAAAUUAAAUCAUGGGGAGAGUUGCUGGUUUUGUAACAGUUUUCAAGAUCUGAAAUGUGUUUCAGGCUUCAUAGAAAGAAAACCACUGAGCCUUUCUUCAUACACAGAGAAUGGUGUGCCCGUGACCUUUUUUUCAGUGCAGAAGCUGAGGAGCUCAGCUAAGAACACAGACACAAAUUGCCUGGGAGAGGAGCUCUGAAGUUCCUGCCACAGCUCCUUGCUGCUCAGUCUCAGUUGUCUGCUGAAUGUAAGCUGCAUCUUCCAUCUCCCCCUGCUCCUUGACUGAAGUUUGAGGUGAGAUCCUUGUUUCUCAGCCCACCUUUGGACCCUGGGGCUUGGAGAGAAUUAACAUUGCUAUCACCUUUCCCUCAGCCACCAAAGUCAUCUGUGCCUUGAUCUGGAAAAUGUAUGUUCUCUAUCCUGGUCAAAUGCAGCAAAUGCCUUAAGCCUGAUGGUAAGUGCGUGUCCAUUCCCGUUGAAGUAAGAGCUUGGAUGCAGCUGUCCAAGGAUUCACCAUCCUUCCCCCACAUCUCUCUCUUUCCACCAUGAGACUCCAGAAAGUGCCAGGUUUUACUGCAGACCCACCCCUAGCCUGUGGUUUCUCUUAGGUCAGCUGGGCUGUCUCUCCUGCUCCUCCGUUUAAACCCCAUUUGUUUCACCAAAGCGUUUGUUAGCAUGAGUCAAAUAAACCAU